UGGGGAAUAUUGGACAAUGGGCGCAAGCCUGAUCCAGCCAUGCCGCGUGAGUGAUGAAGGCCCUAGGGUUGUAAAGCUCUUUCACCGGUGAAGAUAAUGACGGUAACCGGAGAAGAAGCCCCGGCUAACUUCGUGCCAGCAGCCGCGGUAAUACGAAGGGGGCUAGCGUUGUUCGGAUUUACUGGGCGUAAAGCGCACGUAGGCGGACUUUUAAGUCAGGGGUGAAAUCCCGGGGCUCAACCCCGGAACUGCCUUUGAUACUGGAAGUCUUGAGUAUGGUAGAGGAGAGUGGAAUUCCGAGUGGAGGGGUGAAAUUCGUAGAUAUUCGGAGGAACACCAGUGGCGAAGGCGGCUCACUGGACCAUUACUGACGCUGAGGUGCGAAAGCGUGGGGAGCAAACAGG
RNAcentral lists this ribosomal RNA (404 nucleotides) under Actinomycetes bacterium. Its description in RNAcentral is "Actinobacteria bacterium partial 16S ribosomal RNA". It matches the Rfam family "Bacterial small subunit ribosomal RNA", at positions 355 to 776 of the family's 1533-position model. The record is from RNAcentral. Lineage: Bacteria; Bacillati; Actinomycetota; Actinomycetes.